GACGAACGCUGGCGGCGUGCCUAAUACAUGCAAGUAGAACGCUGAAGGAGGAGCUUGCUUCUCUGGAUGAGUUGCGAACGGGUGAGUAACGCGUAGGUAACCUGCCUGGUAGCGGGGGAUAACUAUUGGAAACGAUAGCUAAUACCGCAUAGGAGUAGAUGUCGCAUGACAUUUGCUUAAAAGGUGCAAUUGCAUCACUACCAGAUGGACCUGCGUUGUAUUAGCUAGUUGGUGAGGUAACGGCUCACCAAGGCAACGAUACAUAGCCGACCUGAGAGGGUGAUCGGCCACACUGGGACUGAGACACGGCCCAGACUCCUACGGGAGGCAGCAGUAGGGAAUCUUCGGCAAUGGACGGAAGUCUGACCGAGCAACGCCGCGUGAGUGAAGAAGGUUUUCGGAUCGUAAAGCUCUGUUGUAAGAGAAGAACGAGUGUGAGAGUGGAAAGUUCACACUGUGACGGUAUCUUACCAGAAAGGGACGGCUAACUACGUG
Molecule: ribosomal RNA, 495 nt
Filed under: uncultured bacterium
Lineage: Bacteria
Description: partial 16S ribosomal RNA
Rfam family: Bacterial small subunit ribosomal RNA
Source: RNAcentral